This 498-nucleotide ribosomal RNA is filed under the name uncultured bacterium. Its description in RNAcentral is "bacterial SSU rRNA". It matches the Rfam family "Bacterial small subunit ribosomal RNA", at positions 28 to 534 of the family's 1533-position model. The record is from RNAcentral.
GAUGAACGCUAGCGGCAGGCCUAACACAUGCAAGUCGAGGGGCAUCAUGGCGUAGCAAUACGCUGAUGGCGACCGGCGCACGGGUGCGUAACGCGUAUGGAACCUACCCACCGCAGGGGGAUAACCCGCCGAAAGGCGGACUAAUACCCCAUGGUUCCCCGACCCUGCCUGGGGUUGGGGGUAAAGCCUACGGGCGGCGGUGGAUGGCCCUGCGUGCCAUUAGCUGGCUGGUGGGGUAACGGCCUACCAAGGCUAUGACGGGUAGGGGACCUGAGAGGGUGGCCCCCGACAAGUGGAACUGAAACACGGUCCAUACACCUACGGGUGGCAGCAGUAGGGAAUAUUAGAAAUGGACGAAAGUCUGAUCUAGCAACACCGCGUGUGCGAAGAAGGCCUUCGGGUCGUAAAGCACUUUUUGGAAGGAAUAGGAAGGAAUGUACUUCCAGAAUAAAGUCUCGGCUAACUACGUGCCAGCAGCCGCGGGUAAACUGUAGUCGU